CAACCUCAACUCAUAUGGGACUACCCCCUGAAUUUAAGCAUAUUAAUUAGGGGAGGAAAAGAAACUAACAAGGAUUUUCUUAGUAGCGGCGAGCGAAAAGAAAUCAGUUCAGCACUAAGUCACUUUGUCUAUAUGGCAAAUGUGAGAUGCAGUGUACGGAACAUCAACAUUCUAGUAUGAGAAGUUAACGAUUUAAGUCCUUCUUAAAUGAGGCCAUUUACCCAUAGAGGGUGCCAGGCCCGUAUAACGUUAAUGAUUACUAGAUGGUGUUUCCAAAGAGUCGUGUUGCUUGAUAGUGCAGCACUAAGUGGGUGGUAAACUCCAUCUAAAACUAAAUAUAACCAUGAGACCGAUAGUAAACAAGUACCGUGAGGGAAAGUUGAAAAGAACUCUGAAUAGAGAGUUAAAUAGUACGUGAAACUGCUUAGAGGUUAAGCCCGAUGAACCUGAAUAUCCGUUAUGGAAAAUUCAUCAUUAGAAUUGUAAUAUUUUAAACAAUAUUAUAAUAAUAGUGUGCAUUUUU
RNAcentral lists this non-coding RNA (523 nucleotides) under Drosophila virilis. RNAcentral's name for it is "Eukaryotic large subunit ribosomal RNA". It matches the Rfam family "Eukaryotic large subunit ribosomal RNA", at positions 1 to 507 of the family's 3401-position model. The record is from Rfam by way of RNAcentral. Lineage: Eukaryota; Metazoa; Arthropoda; Insecta; Diptera; Drosophilidae.